This 454-nucleotide ribosomal RNA is filed under the name uncultured bacterium. RNAcentral describes it as "bacterial SSU rRNA". It matches the Rfam family "Bacterial small subunit ribosomal RNA", at positions 340 to 786 of the family's 1533-position model. The record is from RNAcentral.
UACGGGAGGCAGCAGUGGGGAAUAUUGCACAAUGGGCGAAAGCCUGAUGCAGCUAUGCCGCGUGUAUGAAGAAGGCCUUAGGGUUGUAAAGUACUUUCAUCGGGGAGGAAAAACAAAACUAAUAAUUUUAUUUCUUGACGUUACCCGAAAAAGAAGCACCGGCUAACUCCGUGCCAGCAGCCGCGGUAAUACGGAGGGUGCUAGCGUUAAUCAGAAUUACUGGGCGUAAAGAGCACGUAGGUGGUUUUUUAAGUCAGGUGUGAAAUCCCUGGGCUUAACCUAGGAACUGCAUUUUGAAACUGAAAUACUAGAGUAUCGUAGAGGGAGGUAGAAUUCUAGGUGUAGCGGUGAAAUGCGUAGAUAUCUGGAGGAAUACCUGUGGCGAAAGCGGCCUCCUAAACGAAUACUGACACUGAGGUGCGAAAGCGUGGGGAGCAAACAGGGAUUAGAUACC